Molecule: long non-coding RNA, 326 nt
Filed under: Lathyrus oleraceus (garden pea)
Lineage: Eukaryota; Viridiplantae; Streptophyta; Magnoliopsida; Fabales; Fabaceae
Description: Pisum sativum (pea) long non-coding RNA (PSAT_LNC002831)
Source: RNAcentral
UUUGCUGAAAAGUUAGAGAUACGUAUUUUUCUUUGAAUUUGACAAAUUAAAAACUAUGGUGCGUUUAGAAGCUUAAUUUGAUGUAUAAAUGUGAGAAAACUAUCACGCUUAACUGAAAGUAAAUAUUAAUUCAUUCAUAGCAUGGUGUUUUCUUCAAGAUAAGUAAUUAUAAACUUUUGAUAUGGACGGUUGAUAUUCAAUAAUUGAUUUACUCUUGGAAAAUUAAACUUUACAAAUUGGCCAUCGUCAUAUUAAUUUGUAUGACAAUAAUUUAGUAUGUACCAUUGAUAAUUCCUAAUUUGGAGCUAUUUCAACCAUUACAUGAA